This 207-nucleotide long non-coding RNA is filed under the name Gossypium raimondii (Peruvian cotton). RNAcentral's name for it is "long non-coding RNA (GRAI_LNC008098)". The record is from RNAcentral. Lineage: Eukaryota; Viridiplantae; Streptophyta; Magnoliopsida; Malvales; Malvaceae.
GAGGGGUAUCCUGCAAAGAAGGUUGAGCCACAUGGUUACUCAUAUUGAUAGAACUUGUAAAAUCAUCUAGAUCACUAGAUGUUUUAACAGAAUCACGAGCUUGGAGAGUAAUCGUUUCAUCACCUACACGAAGUUCUAAUUCAUCUGUAUUAACAUCAAUAAAGUUCUAACAGUUACUAAAAAGGUUCGUCCUAAAAUUAAAGGUAC